UACGUAGGGGGCUAGCGUUGUCCGGAAUUACUGGGCGUAAAGGGCGUGUAGGCGGCCAACUAAGUCCGACGUGAAAUCCCCAGGCUUAACCUGGGAACUGCGUCGGAUACUGGAUGGCUUGAAUCCGGGAGAGGGAUGCAGAAUUCCAGGUGUAGCGGUGAAAUGCGUAGAUAUCUGGAGGAAUACCGGUGGCGAAGGCGGCAUCCUGGACCGGCAUUGACGCUGAAGCGCGAAAGCUAGGGGAGCAAACGGG
Molecule: ribosomal RNA, 253 nt
Filed under: uncultured bacterium
Lineage: Bacteria
Description: partial 16S ribosomal RNA
Rfam family: Bacterial small subunit ribosomal RNA
Source: RNAcentral